RNAcentral lists this long non-coding RNA (328 nucleotides) under Nicotiana benthamiana. RNAcentral's name for it is "long non-coding RNA (NBEN_LNC028666)". The record is from RNAcentral. Lineage: Eukaryota; Viridiplantae; Streptophyta; Magnoliopsida; Solanales; Solanaceae.
ACAUGACACAGGUGCCAUCCACACUCGAGUUCCAUUUGAUCAACCUAUCUUUAGUAGGAAGUCUGCCUUGUAGGAGCAACCAAAGGUUGAAAAGUGCUUUAGGUCGAGCAGGAUUCUGUAUGGUUAAGUUCUUCCAAAAGACUCUUGUAACUGUCCAAUCUGUUGAAGGUAGAUCAUUCUUAUAGAGCAUGCUGGCUUGUGUAACAGUUGAUAUUGCUGCAAUAGAACAGUACCUUCAAUGAUCUUCCGAACCAUCCAACUGGCUUGUUUAGGAAUAUUUAUGGCCUCCAAUUGUUGCUGCUUGAUAUAGACUGUGUGAAUCCAUUUC